ACCCGUGUAGCCUAAUGGAUAAGGCGUCGGUAUCCUAAUCCAAAGUAUGCGGGUUCGAGUCCUGCCACAGGUG
RNAcentral lists this transfer RNA (73 nucleotides) under Caenorhabditis elegans. It matches the Rfam family "tRNA". Rfam says of the family: Transfer RNA (tRNA) molecules are approximately 80 nucleotides in length. Their secondary structure includes four short double-helical elements and three loops (D, anti-codon, and T loops). Further hydrogen bonds mediate the characteristic L-shaped molecular structure. tRNAs have two regions of fundamental functional importance: the anti-codon, which is responsible for specific mRNA codon recognition, and the 3' end, to which the tRNAs corresponding amino acid is attached (by aminoacyl-tRNA synthetases). tRNAs cope with the degeneracy of the genetic code in two manners: having more than one tRNA (with a specific anti-codon) for a particular amino acid; and 'wobble' base-pairing, i.e. permitting non-standard base-pairing at the 3rd anti-codon position. The record is from Rfam by way of RNAcentral. Lineage: Eukaryota; Metazoa; Nematoda; Chromadorea; Rhabditida; Rhabditidae.